AAAUCUGCAAUAGGGCAUCUCUCUCCUGGCAAGUAGACAUAUUUUGAACUACCUAUAGAGCUCAUCAUUGGAAAUAACUUGCCAAAGGAGAGUUGCCCUGUCGCGGCUUU
This 110-nucleotide microRNA precursor is filed under the name Trifolium pratense (red clover). RNAcentral describes it as "pre miRNA mir-399". The record is from RNAcentral. Lineage: Eukaryota; Viridiplantae; Streptophyta; Magnoliopsida; Fabales; Fabaceae.